Molecule: ribosomal RNA, 913 nt
Filed under: Penicillium vinaceum
Lineage: Eukaryota; Fungi; Ascomycota; Eurotiomycetes; Eurotiales; Aspergillaceae
Description: LSU rRNA
Rfam family: Eukaryotic large subunit ribosomal RNA
Source: RNAcentral
UUAAGCAUAUCAAUAAGCGGAGGAAAAGAAACCAACAGGGAUUGCCUCAGUAACGGCGAGUGAAGCGGCAAGAGCUCAAAUUUGAAAGCUGGCUCCUUCGGGGUCCGCAUUGUAAUUUGCAGAGGAUGCUUCGGGAGCGGCCCCCAUCUAAGUGCCCUGGAACGGGCCGUCAUAGAGGGUGAGAAUCCCGUCUGGGAUGGGGUGCCCGCGACCAUGUGAAGCUCCUUCGACGAGUCGAGUUGUUUGGGAAUGCAGCUCUAAAUGGGUGGUAAAUUUCAUCUAAAGCUAAAUAUUGGCCGGAGACCGAUAGCGCACAAGUAGAGUGAUCGAAAGAUGAAAAGCACUUUGAAAAGAGAGUUAAAAAGCACGUGAAAUUGUUGAAAGGGAAGCGCUUGCGACUAGACUCGCCCACGGGGUAACAGCCGCUAUUCGUAGCGGUGCACUUCCCCGUGGUCGGGCCAGCGUCGGUUUGGGCGGCCGGUCAAAGGCCCUCGGAAUGUAACGCCUCUCGGGGCGUCUUAUAGCCGGGGGUGCCAUGCGGCCAGCCCAGACCGAGGAUCGCGCUUCGGCACGGACGCUGGCUUAAUGGUCGUAAGCGACCCGUCUUGAAACACGGACCAAGGAGUCUAACAUCUACGCGAGUGUUCGGGUGUCAAACCCGUGCGCGCAGUGAAAGCGAACGGAGGUGGGAACCCUUUGGGUGCACCAUCGACCGAUCCUGAUGUCUUCGGAUGGAUUUGAGUAAGAGCGUAGCUGUUGGGACCCGAAAGAUGGUGAACUAUGCCUGAAUAGGGCGAAGCCAGAGGAAACUCUGGUGGAGGCUCGCAGCGGUUCUGACGUGCAAAUCGAUCGUCAAAUUUGGGUAUAGGGGCGAAAGACUAAUCGAACCAUCUAGUAGCUGGUUCCUGCCGAA